This 497-nucleotide ribosomal RNA is filed under the name uncultured bacterium. RNAcentral describes it as "partial 16S ribosomal RNA". It matches the Rfam family "Bacterial small subunit ribosomal RNA", at positions 28 to 507 of the family's 1533-position model. The record is from RNAcentral.
GAUGAACGCUGGCGGCGUGCCUAAUACAUGCAAGUCGAGCGAACUGUUGGGAGCUUGCUCCCAAAAGGUAGGCGCCGGCGGGGUGGUAAAACGGGGGGAACCUUCCUUUAAAGCUGGGAUAAACUCGGGGAAACGGAGCUAAAAACGGAAAACAUUGUAGACUACAUUGCCGUCAAGCAAAAAGAGGCUUUUAGCUACUACUUACCAAUUGACCCGCGGCGCAUUAGCUAUUUGGUGAGGUAAAGGCUCACCAAGGCCAGGAUGCGUAGCCGACCUGAGAGGGUGAUCGGCCACACUGGGACUGAGACACGGCCCAGACUCCUACGGGAGGCACCAGUAGGGAAUCUUCCGCAUUGGACGAAAGUCUAACGGAGCAACGCCGCGUGAGUGAUGAAGGUUUUCGGAUCUUAAAACUCUUUUGUCAGGGAAGAACAAUUACCGGAGUAACUGCCGGUACCUUGACGGUACCUGACCAGAAAGCCACGGCUAACUACGUG